This is a long non-coding RNA of Epinephelus moara (kelp grouper), 2383 nucleotides long. RefSeq lists it as uncharacterized. The transcript is spliced from 3 exons. The record is from RefSeq and is a predicted model, not a curated record. Lineage: Eukaryota; Metazoa; Chordata; Actinopteri; Perciformes; Serranidae.
GUUACAGUGGUAUUAUAUUUAUUUGUAACAGAGACAAGAAAACAUAUCAUAGGGAGCCCAUUACCACGAUAUACAAAUUAAUCUUCAACACUCAACAGCCAUUGACCUGAUAGAGGUCUCAUGAGAUCAUAAUAUACAAAACUUCAACCCAUGUAUGUGCUAAAAAAUAGUAACUUGGAGGUUUAUUUUUAAAUAACAAAGUGGCUUUGGGGUGUAUUUUCAUUAUACCAUGGACAAAGAUUUUUAUAGUUCUGGGCAGUGCGUUUUUUUCCCCAAUAUAUUUGGAAACCUUGCAAAACUAUGGCAACCUGCAUGGCAAAACAUUACUUGCAAAAAAAACAGACCUCCCUUUCUAAGAGGAGUACUAAAUGACAAAACCUCUCAGUGUUAUUGUAAAAACUUCCAAGGCAAUUCCUGCAGAGGGUGCUGUGGGUAUGCUCAGGGCCUUCACCAGGGGCCCGUUGCACAAAAGUAGGAUUCAGACAUCCAGGAUAGAUGACUGAACUGGGUUCAGUGAAUCCAAAACAAGAGCGUCCAGGCUUAAUUGGUUGCACAAAGACCAAGCCAGGAUGAGCAGACACGGAUUCAUCAAGCCAGGUGAAACCAAUCCUGGAUCAGUGCGCGCACGCGGCUUCCUCAAAUAGACCCCGCCAUUGAUCACAGAUUCACCGAUUCACCAUGGCAACAAGAGCGGCGUACUUUUCCCCGUCGGAGGCAGAAAUCCUCAUGGAGGCUUACGAGGAGGUAAAGGAUCAAAUCAAAAAGAAAGGCAAAACCGCCACAGUAAUAAAACAACUAGAGAAAGCGUGGCAAAGUAUUGCAGACCGCCUGAAUGCAUGGUCUGCGAUGCUGACUAUCUGAUCAGCAAUGUUGUGGCAAAGUGGCCUGGCUCGGUCCAUGACUCCCGAGUCUUUCGGACCUCUGGAAUCUAUCAGCGCCUAUCACAAGGUGAGCCACACAACCUCUAUUAAUAACCACUUUUUAACAUCAUGGCUGUGUCAAGAAUGUCACUCUAUUUAUGAGGAUGUGAUGAUGAGAUUUUGUAUUGACAGGUGAAUUCUCUGGUGUGUUGCUGGGGGACAGGGGGUAUGCCUGCCAGACUUUUCUCCUCACACCAUACACAGACCCUCAGGAAGCACAGCAGGCCUAUGCCAGGACAAGGGCCAGGAUCGAAAUGACCUUUGGCUUCCUGAAGGCACGCUUUCACUGUCUUAACCACUUAAGGGUCAGCCCUUUGAGAGCAUGUGACAUCACUGUGGCCUGUGCUGUCCUCCACAAUGUGGCCUGCCUGAGGAAGGAGAGGGCCCCCAGAGUGCCAUCACACAUGGACUGGGACAAUCCUGCCAUCUUCCCUGAUGACGACAGUGGUCGGCUGGUCAGGGACCAAUACGUGUUAAAUUAUUUUAGUUAACAUGCAUGUUUUUAAAUUUAAGUUAAAUAUGUCCUGCAGUGGCAGAGACGCAUGCUGUGAAUUUCAGUUAAAUAUGGCCUGCAUUGGCAGAGGAAUUUGUGUGUGUUUUUUUUUAUUCAAUUUAAAUUGAUUUGGCCUGUUAUGUUGUUUGUGCUGUAUACUGUGUGUAUACAAGAUUGCAGGGAGGCUACUGCAUCCAUUCAUUUGUCUGUUCAUUUGCUGUGUAUGGAUUUGUCCUGCAUUUAUUUCAGUGUGCAGACAUGCGGGGUGUAUCACAUACAGACCUUUGAAUGUGUAUUUAUUCUUGUGUUGUAUAAUAUGCUUUGAUUCCGUGCUUUCUAUCUUGUAGAGUCACUGUGUGACUUGAAAAUAUCAGUUUUGAAAGGAGCUGAUGGUUUACUUGCUUUGAUUUAUCCUUAUUCAAUAAAGGAACAUCAUAUUACUCUUUGUGUAUUUAUAUUUAUAUGGGAUGUGUAUUUUAUAUAUAGUCUAUGGGAAACUGUAAAUUAUCUAAUGAUUGCAAAAUCAUCUAAAAUCAUCAUUUAUCUAAAAUGAUUGCAAUUAAUGAUCACAAAUGUUUAAAUAAUAACAGUGGGUCUGGCUGAAUGUGAUAACAAUGUGCAGUAGGCAGUGGAAUAACUAUUGGUUUCCGUUUGUGGUGACUGCUGACUGAGAUAAGGGAUGAGAUUAAAUAGAUCCUGGAACUUAGCCUGGUCUGGAGCAGGCCAGCUUCACAGAAUAAAUCUCCAUGGUAACUUAUGUCAUAACAUAUCCCGCUUUCCACUAUCCCGCUUUUGUGCAACCGGAUCACAGAUAAGUUGAGCCAGGAUAACCAAGAUAUCCCGGCUUAAUCCCUUAUCCUAGUUUUGUGCAAAAGGCCCCAGCUCAGACUCAUGUAAAAGAGAUAACAUUUCUAUUUAGGUAUUUGUUUUUUAUCUUCUACUUUUGCUGCUUUUUACUUACUAUUUGUUG